This 1492-nucleotide ribosomal RNA is filed under the name Stutzerimonas stutzeri. Its description in RNAcentral is "bacterial SSU rRNA". It matches the Rfam family "Bacterial small subunit ribosomal RNA". Lineage: Bacteria; Pseudomonadati; Pseudomonadota; Gammaproteobacteria; Pseudomonadales; Pseudomonadaceae. The record is from RNAcentral.
GGCGCGCGCCUACCAUGCAAGUUCGAGCGGAUGAUGGGAGCUUGCUCCCUGAUUCAGCGGCGGACGGGUGAGUAAUGCCUAGGAAUCUGCCUGGUAGUGGGGGACAACGUUUCGAAAGGAACGCUAAUACCGCAUACGUCCUACGGGAGAAAGCAGGGGACCUUCGGGCCUUGCGCUAUCAGAUGAGCCUAGGUCGGAUUAGCUAGUUGGUGGGGUAAAGGCCUACCAAGGCGACGUAUCCGUAACUGUUUGUCUGAGAGGGAUGAUCAGCUCACACUGGAACUGAGACACGGUCCCAGACUCUCCUACGGGAGGCAGCCAGUGGGGAAUAUAUUGGACAAUGGGCGAAAAAGCCUGAUCCCCAGCCCCAUGCCGCGUGUGUAGAAGAAGGUCUUCGGAUUGUAAAGCACUUUUAAGUUGGGAGGAAGGGCAGUAAGUUAAUACCCUUGCUGUUUUUGACGUUUACCAACAGAAAUAAAAGCACCGGGCUAACUUCGUGCCCAGCAGCCCGCGGUUAAUACGAAAGGGUGCCAAGGCGUUAAUCGGAAAUUACUGGGCGUAAAAGCGCGGCGUAGGUGGUUUUGGUAAGAUGGAUGUGAAAUUCCCCGGGCUUCAACCUGGGAACUGCAUUCCAUAACUGCCUGACUAGAGUACGGUAGAGGGUGGUGGAAUUUCCUGUGUAGCGGUGAAAUGCGUAGAUAUAGGAAGGAACACCAGUGGCGAAGGCGACCACCUGGACUGAUACUGACACUGAGGUGCGAAAGCGUGGGGAGCAAACAGGAUUAGAUACCCUGGUAGUCCACGCCGUAAACGAUGUCGACUAGCCGUUGGGAUCCUUGAGAUUUUAGUGGCGCAGCUAACGCGAUAAGUCGACCGCCUGGGGAAGUACGGCCGCAAGGUUAAAACUCAAAAUGAAUUGACGGGGGCCCGCCACAAGCCGGUGGGAGCAUGUGGGUUUAAAUUCGAAGCAAACCGCGAAAGAACCUUUACCUGGGCCCUUGACAAUGUCCCGGGAAUCUUGCAAGAGAUGACUGCGAGAGUGCCUUCGGGAAUCGGAACACCAGGGUGCUUGCAUGGGGCUGUCCGUCACCGCUCGUGUUCGUGAGAGAUGUUGGGGUUAAAGUCCCGUAACGAAGCGCAAACCCUUUGUCUCUUAGUUCACCAGCCACGUUAAGGGUGGGCACUCUAAGGAGACUGGCCGGGUGACAAACCGGAAAGGAAGGUGGGGAUGACGUCAAGUCAUCAUGGGCCCUUUACGGCCAGGGCUACACACGUGCUACAAUGGUCGGUACAAAGAGGGUUGCCAAGCCGCGAGGUGGAGCUAAUCCCAUAAAACCGAUCGUAGUCCGGAUCGCAGUCUGCAACUCGACUGCGUGAAGUCGGAAUCGCUAGUAAUCGUGAAUCAGAAUGUCACGGUGAAUACGUUCCCGGGCCUUGUACACACCGCCCGUCACACCAUGGGAAGUGGGUUGCUCCAGAAGUAGCUAGUCUA